CAUCUCCUCAACUCCGACAAAUAAAAGCCUCCAGCGAUACCAUCAAUAAAAGUCUCCGGUGACAUCUCAUCAGCAAACUCUUCGUAGGAUGCAUCUCCAACUCCAGCAAAAACCCAAUUUCGAAGGCAACAGAUCAUCUCCCUCUCUCUCUCUCUCUCUCUCUCUCUCUCUCUCUCUCUCAUUUUUUUCCUUUAAAAGCGGCCAAUAUCAGUUUGAAAAAUUUUGUCCUUAUCAGUUUGCUUUCCUCCCUUUUCCUUUCAAAAAUUGUCUAGAAUUACUGGUGUAGAUUCUUGAAGUUGGAUUUGAAUGAAUUUUUGUGGGUUUCUUUUGUUUUAGUUUGUUCUUACUUGAUUAGGGUUAAAUCUGAUUUGAUUGAUGCUAAUGAAUUAAUUUGGCUGCUGAGUUUUGGGGGUUUUAUGAUUCUUGGAAUCAGAAUCCGAGUAGGGUAGGGUAGUGUUUUUCUUACAAUCUGGUGAGACCAUUUGUAAAGCUGAAGAACUUCUGUAGAAGGCCACGAUUCCAAAUUAACAUUUGUCCCAAUCGCAUAAUACCAUGAAAGUUUUGCCUGCUCAAAUUGUUGCUGCCCAAGAGCUAGAAAGCCUUCAUAGAAAUUUGGCUUGAUAAGAAGUGCUUCUUCAUAUUUCUUACCAGCUGCGGAGUAUUCCUUUUGUGCCCAACCAUAUGCAUUUUUCACCUGCUCUAACACAGACUCCCUUGAAGCAUCUUCAUUGCGUUUUAAAGAUUGGCAGGUGCUUGCCCUUCCUAAUAUUGGAGAUUCCUUUCUUUGUUCAAUAAAUUCAGUUCCUAAUGCCUUCAUAUAUGUUUUAACAGAGGAUUUUGAGAAUAAUAUGAAUUCCUAAUGACUUUGCCAACAACUUACAUCAGUGUAGUUUUGAGUUGUUAUUUUUGGUUCAUUGAGUUGCAUGAAGUCGAUGCCUUCUCAUAUUAGUAUCCUGCAUAAACCAAGCUUGGGCAUUGUUCCCCUAUAUGCAAAAUCAAAACUUUUCCUCGUGCCAUGUUCGGGUGGCAAUAAAAUUCUAGUUCUUCUAAAAGUUGGAGGGUUCAAGUCUUCUCCUUAUUACAGUAGCUGAUGUUUGGUGCGAUUAAUUGCGUCCUCAACUUACAUCAGUGUAGUUAUUGCAGGUCUUCUCCUUAUUACAGUAGCUGAUGUUUGGUUUUUUUUUAAGUCAACAGAAAUCACGGGGAGGAGAAAUAAGUGGCUAGAUGUUGACUAGCUCUCCAAAUUGGGUAGUAAAGUCAACUGGUAGAGCUUGCAAGACUUGCAAGGGUGUCUAUUAGUUGUCAUAGCAACAUUGGUUGUACUGUAAAACCAUUCUUACUACUGUCAAUGGUCUCCAAAUGUCUCUCUGGAACAUGCAAUAAGUGAAAUAAUGUCGUUGCAACAUCAUUAAGAAAAAGUCAACUUUGAGCUAGAGAUCAAGUAGAAAUUAACAGAAACACUUUUAAAAAUUGAGCUUGUUACUGUGCAAUUUGAGUAAAUAGUCUACCCAGCUGCCGCAUCAAAGGUAGAGGUAGGUGGUGGCUUCAAAGUCUUCUCCUUAUUCUGUUAGUACUUAUCUUUCUUUGGUAUAACUUCUUGAUUUUCUUGUAUGGCCUAUGAGUUAUAAUAGGUUGUGCUUCACAAGUGGACUUGAUGCUUCUCUCACGUAUUAAGAUAUUUAUUUUUCCUGUUGUGUUUCAGCACCAUUGAACCUUGGAGGUGAUCUAGAAGUGGAAAAAAGGACAACUGACUGAGUACCUUGCCACUUGCUGUGGCCUUGGAAAUUUGUAGGUGCAGGCCAACUGGAUUUGUUCAAAGCUCUGGUCACUAAGUUUUUUCUUGUAAAACAUUCACAUGAACAUUGGUGACCAUCUUGAUUCAAUUGGAAGCCGCUUUUGGCUAUAUGAACCCUUGUAGUUAGCAAGUCUAUUGAAGGACAGAACCGACUUGAUGAUAGGAUAAAGUAAGUUACAGGCUAUUAUUGUGUGCUAAUUCUUGAUUCAAUUGGAAGCCCAUCUUUAGGUGAUGUUGAAUAUAAUAAGUAGUGGAAAUCUUUGAAAAGAGAUUCCAUACCAUAAACUACAUGAUUAUGAAUCCUUGUCUUGUAUAAGGUCCGCAUUAUGAUCGAAAAGGAGGAAAGUAUUAAGAAA
This 2151-nucleotide long non-coding RNA is filed under the name Coffea arabica (coffee). Its description in RNAcentral is "long non-coding RNA (CARA_LNC001314)". The record is from RNAcentral. Lineage: Eukaryota; Viridiplantae; Streptophyta; Magnoliopsida; Gentianales; Rubiaceae.